AUGACUAACUAUGGCAUCAAGUUCAAGCACAUCAGGAGUGACAUUGACAUGAAAUUCAGGAACACUAGCCUUAACACUUAUCUUGAUACAUUGGGCAUCACUCAUGAGCUCUCUGCUCUGUACACACCUCAGCAGAAUGGCGUCGUGGAGCGCAAGAACAAGACUCUUAUUGGGAUGGCUUGUACGAUGCUUUAUGAGUACAAGACUACAAGAAAGUUCUGGCCUGAAGCCAUUGAUACAUCAUGCCAUAUCAUCAACAGAGUUUAUCUUCACAAAUUCUUCAAGAAUACAUCUUAUGAACUACUCACUGUUAAGAAGCCAAACACAAGCUAUUUCAAAGUGUUCGGUGCUAGGUGUUGGAUAAGGAUCCACAUCACACUUCCAAAUUUGCACCAAAAGCACAUGAAGGUUUUAUGCUCGGUUACAAAAAGGAUUCGCACACCUACAUAG
Molecule: ribosomal RNA, 450 nt
Filed under: Triticum aestivum (bread wheat)
Lineage: Eukaryota; Viridiplantae; Streptophyta; Magnoliopsida; Poales; Poaceae
Description: partial small subunit ribosomal RNA
Source: RNAcentral